RNAcentral lists this ribosomal RNA (253 nucleotides) under uncultured bacterium. RNAcentral describes it as "partial 16S ribosomal RNA". It matches the Rfam family "Bacterial small subunit ribosomal RNA", at positions 524 to 776 of the family's 1533-position model. The record is from RNAcentral.
UACGUAGGGUGCGAGCGUUGUCCGGAAUUAUUGGGCGUAAAGAGCUUGUAGGCGGUUUGUCGCGUCUGCCGUGAAAAUCCGGGGCUCAACCCCGGACUUGCGGUGGGUACGGGCAGACUAGAGUGUGGUAGGGGAGACUGGAAUUCCUGGUGUAGCGGUGAAAUGCGCAGAUAUCAGGAGGAACACCGGUGGCGAAGGCGGAUCUCUGGGCCAUUACUGACGCUGAGGAGCGAAAGCGUGGGGAGCGAACAGG